AGCUCUGAAAUGUUAGAUUUGAAAAAACUCGCCCAGAGCUGCAUCCUAUUAAAGUUCAGUCACCAUGGUUUCAUAUUGGAAUCGAUUUAAUAGGACCACUUCCUGAAACAUCAGCAGGAAAUAAACAUAUCCUCACUAUCUCUGAUUAUUGCACAAAGUGGGUAGCUGCAUUUCCCCUUAAAUCAAAAUUAGCCAGUGGUGUUGCAAUAGCAUUAUAUAAGUUGUUCAUGCAGAUGGGUAUACCAAAAGUUGUUACCUCUGACCAGGGCACAGAAUUUUACAACCAAAUAAACAGGGAACUUAUGUCACUGCUCAAUGUGAAGCAUCAGUUUACCACAGCUUAUCAUACACAGGUUUUCAAAUCUGAAUUGAAUUUGCAUAUAAUUUGCUGUCUGGUUAAAAAUAUUUGAUUUAAUCAUUUUUUAUUUUAGGCUAAUGGCUUAGAUGAGCGGUUCAAUCAAACCAUUCAGUUAAUGCUUGUAAAGUUUUGCAAUGACCGGCACAGUACAUGGGAUACUGUGAUAGAUUAUUACCUCCGCCUGAAUUAUCACCUCCCCCUAUUGAAAACUCAAAACGAGGUUGCGCUUUCUGGUUAUAGCUGUUAGAUGUGUUCCUAAAACAUCCGGAUUACCAUAACAUAACAUAAUUAACAUAAACAUAAACAACGAAAAUGACGCUUCGAGGACAAGAAUUCGAGAAAUAAAGUUUACUUGGUCUUUUGUGAUGUUCCAAUUCCAUUUUUUUGAAAGUGACUCAUCAUGUUAUAGUGUGAUGUUUUCUGAAUGACUUUAUGUGAUAGUGUGAACGUUUUCUGACUGGCAGAAGGAUAUUCAGUUUUCUUUUUGCCCCACCUUGUCAGUCUGGUGGUAAAAAGAAGAGAUAGAACCACAUUUAUGUGUAAACACUGACAGAGGAAAAAAAGGACUAGUUUAUUAUGAAUACUGUAGUAGAUUAUUCCCACCGCCUGAAUUAUUCCAUCCCUCUAUGAAAAACUCAAAACGAGAUUGCGCUUUCGGGUUAUAACUGUUAGAAGUGUACCUAAAACGUCCGUACUACUUUUGUAAACAUAAACAAAGAGAAAAAAACGUUUAGAUGACAAGAAUUUUAGAAAUAAAGUUUAC
Molecule: long non-coding RNA, 1121 nt
Organism: Hydra vulgaris (swiftwater hydra)
Lineage: Eukaryota; Metazoa; Cnidaria; Hydrozoa; Anthoathecata; Hydridae
Source: RefSeq, a predicted model, not a curated record